RNAcentral lists this ribosomal RNA (460 nucleotides) under uncultured bacterium. Its description in RNAcentral is "partial 16S ribosomal RNA". It matches the Rfam family "Bacterial small subunit ribosomal RNA", at positions 338 to 795 of the family's 1533-position model. The record is from RNAcentral.
CCUACGGGAGGCUGCAGUGAGGAAUAUUGGUCAAUGGACGAGAGUCUGAACCAGCCAAGUAGCGUGAAGGAUGACUGCCCUAUGGGUUGUAAACUUCUUUUAUAAAGGAAUAAAACGAGGCACGUGUGCCUUUUUGCAUGUACUUUAUGAAUAAGGAUCGGCUAACUCCGUGCCAGCAGCCGCGGUAAUACGGAGGAUCCGAGCGUUAUCCGGAUUUAUUGGGUUUAAAGGGAGCGUAGAUGGGUUGUUAAGUCAGUUGUGAAAGUUUGCGGCUCAACCGUAAAAUUGCAAUUGAUACUGGCAGUCUUGAGUACAGUUGAGGUAGGCGGAAUGCGUGGUGUAGCGGUGAAAUGCUUAGAUAUCACGAAGAACCCCGAUUGCGAAGGCAGCUUAUUAAGCUGCGACUGACAUUGAUGCUCGAAAGUGUGGGGAUCAAACAGGAUUAGAUACCCCAGUAGUC